CAGUGAUAAGCAUAAGGGAUAUAAAUGUUUUCAUCCAUCAACCAAAAAAAUUUUCAUAUCACGUCAAAAAGUUUUUGAUGAAGAAGUAUUUCCUUAUAAACCUAAGUCUACAAUUAUGAUUGAUUCUCACGCUACUCAUAUUAAUAAUAUUUUUGAUUCCUGGUUGCCACCCACAACUGACUUUGGUGAUACUAAAGGGACCCCAACGGAGACUUCUACACCGCCGUGUUCAAGCCCACUACCAACACUUAUUCCAGCUCAAGAACAUAAUAAUUCACUGGCUGAUGUAGUCACAGCAGUUCCUUUACCUCUUCUCAACAAUGAAAUGUCACCCCAAGCUCCAAUACCUUUACACACAGACAAUAUCCCAUCUCCACUAUCUUCGCCAACUAGAGACUUAUUAAGUGUCACCGCCUCACUUGACAGUCCCACAAACAUCACCACAUCUACUAUCACACCAUCUGCUUUAUCUCCUACCAACGAACCCAGUAUUAGCAGCACUUUAUAAGUUCCUCAUCCUAUGAUAACGCAUUCUCGCCUUGGUGUGGUUAAACCAAAUCCUAAGUAUGCCUUGCCCACCAUAACUUCCACAAUUCCCCGUGAGCCACAUAACAUCAUAUCAGCCUUAGCUCAUCCUGGUUGGAAAGCCGCUAUGGAGGAGGAACUUGCUACCUUGCAUAAAAAUCAGACUUGGAAACUUGUUUCCCGCACUCCAGAAAAUGCGUGUUAUAAGGUCAAAGUGGGUCUUCAAGCCAAAACUCAAACCUGAUGGUACAUUGGGUGGGCUCAAGGCCCGCUUGGUUGUAAAGGGAUAUCAUCAAAUUGAUGGCAUAGACUACACAGAGAUCUUUUCUCCAGUCAUCAAACCAGGGACAAUUCGUAUGAUCCUAACCAUAGCACUGGUUCAGAAAUGGCGCAUUCGACAACUUGACGUGAAGAACGCAUUUCUACAUGGUUUAAUUUCAGAAGAUAUAUAUAUGGAACUACCACCAGGAUUUGCAGAUUCACAACAUCCAACACAUCUGUGCAAGCUACAAUGAGCUAUUUACGGAUUAAAGUAGACACCUCACGCUUGGUUUGAUCGGUUUAGUACUUUUCUCCUUAAAUUUGGUUUUUUUUUGCAGUUUAGCUGAUCCAUCCUUAUAUAUUUUUCACUCUAAUCAUGGCUCACUAAUUUUGCUUCUUUAUGUAGGUGACAUGUUGCUCACAGGAUCGACUUUGGAUUUGUCACUUCGUUUAUCCAAAUUCUUAGUAGUGAAUCUGCAAUGAAAGACUUAGGGCCAGUUCAUCACUUCCUUGGCAUAGAAAUUUCCCAAUUAUCUGAUGGUCUUCAUUUGUCACAGUCACACUAUGCUCUUACCAUACUGGAGAAAACGAAAAUGGUUGAUUGUAUGCCCAUGAAUAAACCACUUGAAUCAAAGAGAAAAAAUCCUAUUACUUCCAAACCAUUAGAAGACCCAAGUUACUUUCGAGGGAUAGUUGGUGCUCUACAAUAUCUUACACUUACUCGGCCAGAUCUUUCCUUUAGUGUCAAUUAUAUAUCCCAAUUCAUGCAUAACCCCACAAUGGCUCACUUGAAAAUGGCUCGACGUAUACUCCGUUAUGUCAAGGGCACAAUUCACUUAGGUUUAUAUUUCACAUCAAAUACUUCACUUCAUCUGUGUGCUUUUUUAGAUGCAGAUUGGGCUGGUUGUCCUACAACAAGAUGCUCCACCACUAGAUAUUGCACUUUCCUUGGUCAAAAUCUCAUAUCUUGGUGUGCCAAAAAAUAGAAUACAAUCUCUCGCUCUAGCACUGAAGCUGAAUAUCGUGCCAUGGCCAAUACAACAGCAGAACUAACAUGGAUGACUUUCAUUCUCAAAGAUUUACGCAUUCCACUUUCCAAUCCUCCAACGUUAUACUGUGACAAUAUCAGUGCUCUCCACAUGACAAUUAAUCCAGUUUUUCAUGCUCGUAGUAAACACAUCGAACUGGACUAUCAUUUUGUGCGCGAACGAGUUGCUCUUGGUCUACUUGUCACUCGACAUAUCUCCACAACAGAACAACUAGCUGAUUUGUUCACCAAACCAAUGUCCAAAGCUGCUCUCCAUUAUUUCUGCACCAAAUUCUGCCUUAGCCCCCGGCACAGUUUGAGGAAGGGUAUUAGUAGCACUUUACAGGUUGGCAAUACAAAUCUUUGUGAGGAUAAAUGGAGUUACAAGGAGUCCCUACAAUCUUGGAGAGAUAAGGAAGAAGAUCCUCUCAUUCAAAGUGAUAAGGCCACAUGUUCAGAGAAGUUGAGUGAUAAAGGAAACCAAGGAUGACUAGUUCAAACCGAAAUGCUUAUCCAACGAGAUGCAACACAUCUGGCAUGAAAAACAGCAUCAGAUUCAAGAAGGAUGCAAAAAGAUCAGAUCUGUUUAAAGUUUGAAUUUUUUUUAGAGAUUUUUGUGCAAAAUAGUUUUUAUUUGUUUCACUAUAUGUUUUUCCUAUUUAAAGAGGACCUGUGUAACUUCUAUUUUUAAGUGCUCACGUUGAGUAAAAAAUCUUCAGUACAACAGGUUGUUUGUCCAUUUAAAGAUUAUAUCAAUUCCAG
RNAcentral lists this long non-coding RNA (2575 nucleotides) under Olea europaea subsp. europaea. The record is from RNAcentral. Lineage: Eukaryota; Viridiplantae; Streptophyta; Magnoliopsida; Lamiales; Oleaceae.